Molecule: ribosomal RNA, 501 nt
Filed under: uncultured Oscillibacter sp.
Lineage: Bacteria; Bacillati; Bacillota; Clostridia; Eubacteriales; Oscillospiraceae
Description: bacterial SSU rRNA
Rfam family: Bacterial small subunit ribosomal RNA
Source: RNAcentral
AGAGUUUGAUCCUGGCUCAGGACGAACGCUGGCGGCGUGCUUAACACAUGCAAGUCGAACGGAGCGCCCCUGAAAGAGUUUUCGGACAAUGGAAGGGAACGCUUAGUGGCGGACUGGUGAGUAACGCGUGAGGAACCUGCCUUUCGAGGGGGACAACAGUUGGAAACGACUGCUAAUACCGCAUGACACAUGACUGUGGCAUCGCAGACAUGUCAAAGAUUUUAUCGCCGAAAGAUGGCCUCGCGUCUGAUUAGCUAGUUGGUGAGGUAACGGCUCACCAAGGCGACGAUCAGUAGCCGGACUGAGAGGUUGGCCGGCCACAUUGGGACUGAGAUACGGCCCAGACUCCUACGGGAGGCAGCAGUGGGGAAUACUGGGCAAUGGACGCAAGUCUGACCCAGCAACGCCGCGCGAAGGAAGAAGGCUUUCGGGUUGUAAACUUCUUUUAAGGGGGAAGAGCAGAAGACGGUACCCCUUGAAUAAGCCACGGCUAACUACGUG